AAAAUUAAAACCCUCUGGCCGAGUCAGAGGGUGUGUGUUUAAUCAGCAAAAGAAAAACCCUGAUUCUUCUUCUCCACAUUGUCGCGACUUCUGGUGUUCUCUUCUCAUCUUCCUCGCGAAUUCGAUUUAUGGUUAUAUGCGUGUUGCUGAGCAUCAUAUAUUAGUAGAUAGGCCAUCUUAGACAUCAUGGGAAUCCAAAAUCUUUUAUGGCAAGUGACGAAGAAAGCAUUCACUGGAGGUAUCAUAGGGGUUACUAUUUCAGAUAGAUGUUGUAGCGUUGUUCCCGUGAGAGGAGAUUCCAUGUCUCCCACUUUGAAUCCCCAGAGAAAUUCUUAUUUAGAUGAUUAUGUUUUGGUAGAGAAAUUUUUCCUUCAGGAUUACAAGUUUGUGCGUGGUGAUGUUGUAGUGUUCAGCUCUCCCACUCAUUUCAAGGAUAAAUACAUAAAGAGGAUAGUGGGGCUGCCUGGGGAAUGGAUAAGUAGUUCACGGGAUGUGAUCAGAGUCCCAGAAGGACAUUGUUGGGUAGAAGGAGAUAACAAAGCUUCCAGCUUAGACUCAAGAACCUUUGGCCCUAUUCCUUUGGGUUUAAUUAGAGGACGGGUGACUAGUGUCGUGUGGCCUCCUCAAAGAGUAAGCAAGAUUAGUUGAUAAAGAGAAGGAGAAGAAAGGAAGAAAAAGAUAGGUGGAUUUGUUGAAGAUGGGAAGACUAUUCGUGAUCGACCUCCAAGGAGAAACUUAUAGCUGUAAACAUUGCCACACACCUUUCGCACUUACCGAUGAUCUCAUCUCCAAGUCAUUUCACUGCAAGCAUGGAAGGGCUUAUCUUUUCGAAAACGUGUAAGUUGUUACUACUUUGAAGAUGAAUCUGAUCAAACCAUUGAAUCCUCCUGACAAGGCUCCCUUUUUUGAUAACCAAAUCUCUUUUUGGGGAUGUCGUUAGUGUCAAUGUGACUGUUGGAGAGAUGGAGCAUCGCAUCAUGAUGACUGGCUGGCACACUGUUGCUGACAUCUUCUGCGUUUGCUGUGGCUCUCUCGUUGGCUGGAAAUACGUACAAAAUACUACAAGAAAAACUCAUUCUUCUCAACAACUUCCUUUUUGAUUCUUGAUGCUGAUUCUCAUUUUGUCCCACAGGAGAUCGCAUACGAAAAGUCUCAGAAAUACAAAGAAGGAAAAUUCAUCAUUGAAAGGUUUAAAGUGCUUGGACCCGAUGGAGGCGGGUACGACAUGAACGAGGACGAGCCCAUGAUUGGAAGUGACGAAGAAUAAAACGGGCUUCCCUUUUCUUUUUACCAGCCCAUAGUUAUUGGAGAUACUUGGCAAGUGAUCAAUGCAAAAACUCCACAAUUUUUUUCGGGUAAGCAACCAAAUAUUUAUAAACUUAAUUGUAAUGAGGAGUACUAAAAUCGUUUUCAGACACUAACUUUAGUAUAUGCAUGCUUCUACUUGCAUGCCUCUUGUAACAAGAAUCUAUAUAAAUGAAUUUCCUAGCGAAAAUAUAGAUUUUAUCUGGACA
Brassica rapa (field mustard) is the source of this 1514-nucleotide RNA transcript. It is a transcript of the gene named mitochondrial inner membrane protease subunit 2, with no coding region annotated. Lineage: Eukaryota; Viridiplantae; Streptophyta; Magnoliopsida; Brassicales; Brassicaceae. The record is from RefSeq and is a predicted model, not a curated record.